CAAGUCGAGCGGAAGAUGGGAGCUUGCUCCCUGAUGUUAGCGGCGGACGGGUGAGUAACACGUGGGUAACCUGCCUGUAAGACUGGGAUAACUCCGGGAAACCGGGGCUAAUACCGGAUGCUUGUUUGAACCGCAUGGUUCAGACAUAAAAGGUGGCUUCGGCUACCACUUACAGAUGGACCCGCGGCGCAUUAGCUAGUUGGUGAGGUAACGGCUCACCAAGGCGACGAUGCGUAGCCGACCUGAGAGGGUGAUCGGCCACACUGGGACUGAGACACGGCCCAGACUCCUACGGGAGGCAGCAGUAGGGAAUCUUCCGCAAUGGACGAAAGUCUGACGGAGCAACGCCGCGUGAGUGAUGAAGGUUUUCGGAUCGUAAAGCUCUGUUGUUAGGGAAGAACAAGUGCCGUUCAAAUAGGGCGGCACCUUGACGGUACCUAACCAGAAAGCCACGGCUAACUACGUGCCAGCAGCCGCGGUAAUACGUAGGUGGCAAGCGUUGUCCGGAAUUAUUGGGCGUAAAGGGCUCGCAGGCGGUUUCUUAAGUCUGAUGUGAAAGCCCCCGGCUCAACCGGGGAGGGUCAUUGGAAACUGGGGAACUUGAGUGCAGAAGAGGAGAGUGGAAUUCCACGUGUAGCGGUGAAAUGCGUAGAGAUGUGGA
Molecule: ribosomal RNA, 661 nt
Filed under: Bacillus amyloliquefaciens
Lineage: Bacteria; Bacillati; Bacillota; Bacilli; Caryophanales; Bacillaceae
Description: bacterial SSU rRNA
Rfam family: Bacterial small subunit ribosomal RNA
Source: RNAcentral